This 72-nucleotide transfer RNA is filed under the name Odontobutis potamophilus. RNAcentral describes it as "tRNA-Leu". The record is from RNAcentral. Lineage: Eukaryota; Metazoa; Chordata; Actinopteri; Gobiiformes; Odontobutidae.
GCUCCUAAAGGAUAAUAGCUCAUCCUGGUCUUAGGAACCAAAAACUCCUGGUGCAAAUCCAAGUAGGCAGCU